AAGGAAGGACAGAAAUCAGUAAGUGCUGCUAAUACUUAUGCCCCAAGGUUAAAGUCCUUGGCUUCUUUA
RNAcentral lists this transfer RNA (69 nucleotides) under Notropis hudsonius (spottail shiner). RNAcentral's name for it is "tRNA-Ser". Lineage: Eukaryota; Metazoa; Chordata; Actinopteri; Cypriniformes; Leuciscidae. The record is from RNAcentral.